RNAcentral lists this ribosomal RNA (492 nucleotides) under uncultured bacterium. RNAcentral describes it as "partial 16S ribosomal RNA". It matches the Rfam family "Bacterial small subunit ribosomal RNA", at positions 29 to 507 of the family's 1533-position model. The record is from RNAcentral.
AGUGAACGCUGGCGGUAGGCCUAACACAUGCAAGUCGAACGGCAGCACAGUAAGAGCUUGCUCUUACGGGUGGCGAGUGGCGGACGGGUGAGGAAUACAUCGGAAUCUACUUUUUCGUGGGGGAUAACGUAGGGAAACUUACGCUAAUACCGCAUACGACCUACGGGUGAAAGCAGGGGAUCUUCGGACCUUGCGCGAUUGAAUGAGCCGAUGUCGGAUUAGCUAGUUGGCGGGGUAAAGGCCCACCAAGGCGACGAUCCGUAGCUGGUCUGAGAGGAUGAGAAGCCACACUGGAAAUGAGACACAGUCCAGACUCCUACGGGAGGCAGCAGUGGGGAAUAUUAGACAAUGGGCGCAAGCCUGAUCCAGCCAAACCGCGUGAGUGAAGAAGGACUUCGGGUUGUAAAGCCCUUUUGUUGGGAAAGAAAAGCAGCAAGUUAAUACCCCGCUGUUCUGACGGUACCCAAAGAAUAAGCACCGGCUAACUUCGUG